CAGUUAACUAGUAACAUAUUUCAUCGUGGGAUCCUGAAAACAUUUGUGGUUUUAUUCUUUUAUAGGAAAUCCACUGAUGCCAAACAAAAAGAUACCUCGAGAAAGCCUAAAACGGAUCCCCGUAAGCAUCUGUUCAGUGACACGGAUACUGAUAGAGGGGUUGAUGACAGCAAAACCGACAUUAGCUGGUUACGAAACACCGGGAGCAAAACCAAACCGAAAAUCAUAGGUUACGGCAAGCAAAAGCAGAGAAAAAAGGCAGAGGAAGCUGCGCAACAUAAAUUAGUGGACGCAUCGAAAAGUAUUCCAAAGGAGAGAAAAAAUAAAGCGUGCAAGGAACCACGUGACAGAAAUGUAAAUAGAAAGAACAAGAGGUAUGAAGCCGAAAAGGGGGAAAAAACCCGUCCACAGAGGGAAGCUGUCACUAAGAAAAACUACAAGGAGCUUUCAGAUUCUGGACCCGAAUCGGAGGAGGAUGGAUGCAAAGCAGCCGCUAAAUCUGAUCCUGUGGAAAAACAGAAGAAACCUGAAAAUGUCGGAAAACUCCACAAAAGGCCCCAGAAAACUGAGACCAAGACAGCGAAGCAGAAAAAGACAACAACCGCCAGUCCGAAGCCAGAAUCCCUUCCUACA
Long non-coding RNA from Spea bombifrons (plains spadefoot toad), 633 nucleotides. RefSeq lists it as uncharacterized. Lineage: Eukaryota; Metazoa; Chordata; Amphibia; Anura; Pelobatidae. The transcript has 5 exons. The record is from RefSeq and is a predicted model, not a curated record.